GCGUUAAUCGGAAUUACUGGGCGUAAAGCGUGCGCAGGCGGUUCUGCAAGUCAGAUGUGAAAUCCCCGGGCUUAACCUGGGAACUGCGUUUGAAACUACGGAGCUAGAGUACGGCAGAGGGGGGUGGAAUUCCACGUGUAGCAGUGAAAUGCGUAGAUAUGUGGAGGAACACCGAUGGCGAAGGCAGCCCCCUGGGCCGAUACUGACGCUCAGGCACGAAAGCGUG
Molecule: ribosomal RNA, 226 nt
Filed under: uncultured bacterium
Lineage: Bacteria
Description: partial 16S ribosomal RNA
Rfam family: Bacterial small subunit ribosomal RNA
Source: RNAcentral